AUGGCAGCAAAGAAAGGAACUUCUCGUCUCCUUUCCUUCACAUUCCAGAAGAGGGGGUCACAUUCCAGAACUGAGUCUCAUUCCUGGGGUUCUAGAGGCAGAGCAGGUGACAGAGGGGGAGGAAAUGGCACUCAACACACAAGUAGCCAGAGGAGGAAGAAGUAUCUCUGGUGUUGGAGGAGGCACGAUGGAUACAUGAAAGCAAUUGGGUUAAUCUGGAAGCCUCGUCAGUGAUUACUUCUCUUCUCCUCCUACACUUUGGAGUCUGAAAUUGCUGAUCAUUGGUGGAAGAGUCAACAUGACUUGUUGGAAAAGAGUUCAACUUCUCUUUACACAACUAUCUUUAAACACAGCUCUCAAGUCUACCCAUCCUGGUUUAAGGGCUGAUUACUUGAGGUUUUCUGUUUUCAUGUCCUGCUCUACAUUAAACUACAUAUUCUGAGUGGUC
RNAcentral lists this long non-coding RNA (448 nucleotides) under Capra hircus (goat). RNAcentral's name for it is "lncRNA (ENSCHIG00000001810.1)". The record is from RNAcentral. Lineage: Eukaryota; Metazoa; Chordata; Mammalia; Artiodactyla; Bovidae.